Molecule: ribosomal RNA, 229 nt
Filed under: uncultured bacterium
Lineage: Bacteria
Description: partial 16S ribosomal RNA
Rfam family: Bacterial small subunit ribosomal RNA
Source: RNAcentral
UGCGCAGGCGGGGAAAUAAGUCAGUGGUGAAAAGCUGCCGCUUAACGGUAGUCUUGCCAAUGAUACUGUUUUUCUUGAGUAUGGUUAAGGUAGGCGGAAUGUGCAGUGUAGCGGUGAAAUGCAUAGAGAUUGCACAGAAGGCCGAUUGCGGAGGCAGCUUACUGAGCCAUAACUGACGCUGAGGCACGAAAGCGUGGGGAUCGAACAGGAUUAGAUACCCUGGUAGUCC